RNAcentral lists this transfer RNA (69 nucleotides) under Ictidomys tridecemlineatus (thirteen-lined ground squirrel). RNAcentral's name for it is "Spermophilus tridecemlineatus (thirteen-lined ground squirrel) tRNA". It matches the Rfam family "tRNA". From Rfam's summary of the family: Transfer RNA (tRNA) molecules are approximately 80 nucleotides in length. Their secondary structure includes four short double-helical elements and three loops (D, anti-codon, and T loops). Further hydrogen bonds mediate the characteristic L-shaped molecular structure. tRNAs have two regions of fundamental functional importance: the anti-codon, which is responsible for specific mRNA codon recognition, and the 3' end, to which the tRNAs corresponding amino acid is attached (by aminoacyl-tRNA synthetases). tRNAs cope with the degeneracy of the genetic code in two manners: having more than one tRNA (with a specific anti-codon) for a particular amino acid; and 'wobble' base-pairing, i.e. permitting non-standard base-pairing at the 3rd anti-codon position. Lineage: Eukaryota; Metazoa; Chordata; Mammalia; Rodentia; Sciuridae. The record is from Rfam by way of RNAcentral.
GGGGCUGUAGCUCAGUGGUAGAGCAUUUAUCUCGCAUGUAUGAGGCACUGGGUUCCAUCCUCAGCACCA